UGGCCAACGGGAGAAGGGUUGUUAAGGAACUCGGCAAGUUGACCCCGUAACUUAGGGAGAAGGGGUGCUCUUUAAGGAGAGCCGCAGAGAAUAGGCCCAAGCGACUGUUUAGCAAAAACACAGCUCUAUGCUAAAUCGAAAGAUGACGUAUAUGGGGUGACACCUGCCCGGUGCCGGAAGGUUAAGAGGAGGAGUGAGAGCUCUGAAUUGAAGCCCCGGUAAACGGCGGCCGUAACAAUAACGGUCCUAAGGUAGCGAAAUUCCUUGUCAGGUAAGUUCUGACCCGCACGAAUGGUGUAACGAUUUGGGCACUGUCUCAACAACCUGCCCGGCGAAAUUGUAGUACCGGUGAAGAUGCCGGUUACCCGCGACUAGACGGAAAGACCCCAUGGAGCUUUACUGCAGCUUAAUAUUGAAUUUCGGUAUUUCACGUACAGGAUAGGUGGGAGACAGGGAACCAUAGGCGUCAGCUUUUGGGGAGUCGACCUUGGGAUACCACUCUUGAGGUGCUGGAAUUCUAACCUGUGGCUCUGAAUCGAGUCAGGGGACAUUGUUAGGCGGGCAGUUUGACUGGGGCGGUCGCCUCCAAAAAGGUAACGGAGGCGCUCAAAGGUUCGCUCAGCAUGGAUGGAAACCAUGCUUUUGAGUGUAAACGCAAAAGCGAGCCUAACUGCGAGACUGACGGGUCGAGCAGUAACGAAAGUUGUAGUUAGUGAUCCGGCGGUAUGUGAGUGGAAAUGCCGUCGCUCAACGGAUAAAAGCUACCCUGGGGAUAACAGGCUGAUCUCCCCCAAGAGUCCACAUCGACGGGGAGGUUUGGCACCUCGAUGUCGGCUCAUCGCAUCCUGGGGCUGAAUUCGGUUCCAAGGGUUUGGCUGUUCGCCAAUUAAAGCGGUACGCGAGCUGGGUUCAGAACGUCGUGAGACAGUUCGGUCCCUAUCUGUCGUGGGCGUAGGAUAUUUGAAAGGAGCUGUCCCUAGUACGAGAGGACCGGGAUGGACGCACCGCUGGUGCACCAGUUGUCAUGCCAAUGGCACAGCUGGGCAGCUAUGUGCGGAACGGAUAAACGCUGAAGGCAUCUAAGCGUGAAGCCGACCUUAAGAUAAGAUAUCCCUUCGUAAGAGUAAGACCUCUCAUAGACUAUGAGUUUGAUAGGCCUAAGGUGUAAGCACAGUGAUGUGUUCAGCCUGCAGGUACUAAUCGGUCGAGGGCUUUUCCAA
This 1220-nucleotide ribosomal RNA is filed under the name metagenome. RNAcentral describes it as "bacterial LSU rRNA". It matches the Rfam family "Bacterial large subunit ribosomal RNA", at positions 1684 to 2925 of the family's 2925-position model. The record is from RNAcentral.